UGACACACAAACAGGGAUGUUACCAGGUGCGCCGCUCUAAAGUGUCACAUCAAAGUCACAGCCCUGCUGGCUUGGUUUACACCUGAGCCAAUUAGCCUGGGAGAUCAGAAGAGGUUGGAAAGGAAUACGUCGUCUUAUUUUUGUGCUGGAGAGAAUCACUUGAUCCCAAGUAAGACGAUACACGGAGAACAAUAGCAGAUGAAGUACGCAAAGGAGGAAGCAGGAGUGAUAGAUGAACAUCUCUUAUGAAGAGGCAGCAUUUCUAAUUGGACAUUCUGUGUGUCGUGACGCUGGAGAUGACUUCAAAGAGCUGAGACCCAGACCAGCCAUGUUGCAAGAUGAUAUGCUAGCCAGAGAAGUUGACAGUGUUCUCAAUGGAUGCUUUGAGGUCACUUGAAGAGCAGCAGCAUCCCUUAACUACUCUUUGCUACUUAUCAGGUAAACCAAAUUCCUGUUUUUUUCUCCCACUUCCCAUUAGCCCAUGUCCUGAAAGAAAGGUGUUUCCUAUUGCCCAUGGCUAAGAUUUGGGUUCACAAGCUCCCUAAUAGCUAAGAAUCUUCACAAAAUAUGUGUUCUUUCGCCAUGAUCAGGACAUAGUGAGAGUGAAUUACUGUCAGCAGUGUCAUGCACCCAAAGAAAUACAGGCAAGUCUUUUUCUUCUCAGUCCUUGUGAAUAUGAGCUCCUACAC
Molecule: long non-coding RNA, 689 nt
Filed under: Chrysolophus pictus (golden pheasant)
Lineage: Eukaryota; Metazoa; Chordata; Aves; Galliformes; Phasianidae
Description: lncRNA (ENSCPIG00010009999.1)
Source: RNAcentral